GGAAGACUUAAGAUGGCGGCGUUUGCACGGAGUGCAAUCACUGCGUCCUUACGGGGGUUGCAAGGCGUCCGAAGUAUGAGUCCACUAACAAAAGUCCAGAAACUCGCCAGUUAAUAGUAUUGUGUCUCUUCAAAAUAUCGGAGAAUAAUUUCUUUCUCGCUGAUCGCCUAACUUCUACUGACGAAGCUUGGAAGUUGCAGAAGGUACUGGCUCCUGUAUCACCCAGCUCUGGAGUUGAAAGAGCUCUUCAUUCCUGAGUCUCCUGUACCACUGAGAAUAGAAAUACAAAAAAAAUUCUAAAACUUGUAUGGAACUACAAAAGACAUUAAAUAAUCAAAGUAAUCUUGAGCAACAAGGACACAGCUGGAGGCAUCACUCUACCUGAUUUUGUAAUCCAUUAUCAAAAAACUGUGGUACCAGCAUAAAAACAGAUUCACUGACCAGUGGAACAGGAAAGCCCAGACAUAACUCAUACAUUUCCAUCCAAUUGAUUUUUGACAAAAGUGGCACACAGAAUGGGGAGAGGACAAAUAAAUAAAUAAAUUGUUUUGAGAUAUCUGUAUAUCUAUAUGUGAAAUUGAACCAUUUUCUCAUAGCAUAUAGAAAAAUCAACUCAAAAUGGAUUAAAGCCUGAAAUGUUGCCUUUGAAACUGUAAAACUACUAGUAGAAAAUAUAGGGGAAAAGCUCUAUGAUGUUGUUCUGGGCAAUGAUUUCUUGGAUACAUCCUUAAAAGCAUGGGCAGCAAAAACAGCCAGACAACUAUCAGGGAACCUGCCCAGAUAGUCACAUAGGUUCUUUUCUAUUUUCCCUAAGCAUUGGCCGGGUUGAGAAAUAAAGGGACAGAGUACAAAAGAGAGAAAUUUUAAAGCUGGGCAUCCUGGGGAGACAUCACAUGUCGGUAGGUUCCGUGAUGCCCCCUGAGCCGUAAAACCAGUAAGUUUUUAUUAGGGAUUUUCAAAGGGGAGGGAGUAUACGAAUAGGAGGUGGGUCACAGAGAUCACGUGCUUCACAAGGUAAUAGAAUAUCACAAGGCAAAUGGAGGCAGGGCGAGAUCACAGGACCACAGGACUGGGUUGAAAUUAAAAUUGCUAAUGAAGUUUCGGGCACCAUCGUCAUUGAUAACAUCUUAUCAGGAGACAGGGUUUGAGAGCAACCUGUCUGACCAAAAUUUAUUAGGUGGGAAUUUCCUCGUCCUAAUAAGCCUGGGAGCGCUAUGGGAGACUGGGGCUUAUUUCAUCCCUACAGUCUCGACCAUAGAAGACAGCUACACCCAAGGGGGCCAUUUUAGAGGCCCACCCUCAGGGGCACAUUCUCUUUCUCAGGGAUGUUCCUUGCUGAGAAAAAGAAUUCGGCGAUAUUUCUCCCAUUUGCUUUUGAAAGAAGAGAAAUAUGGCUCUGUUCCGCCUGGCUCACCGGCGGUCAGAGUUUAAGGUUAUCUCUCUUAUUCCCUGAACAUUGCUGUUAUCCUGUUCUUUUUUCAAGGUGCCUAGAUUUCAUAUUGUUUAAACACACAUGCUCUACAAUUUCUGCACUUAACACAAUUAUCACAGGGUCCUGAGGCGACAUACGUCCUCCUCGGCUUACGAGAUGACAGGAUUAAGAGAUUAAAACAGGCAUAGGAAAUCACAAGGGUAUUGAUUGGGGAAGUGAUAAGUGUCCAUGAAAUCUUCACAAUUUAUGUUUAGAGAUUGCAGUAAAGACAGGCAUAAGAAAUUAUAAAAGUAUUAAUUUGGGGAACUAAUAAAUGUCCAUGAAAUCUUCACGAUCCACGUUCUUCCGCCAUGGCUUCAGCCAGUCCCUCCGUUUGGGGUCCCUGACUUCCCGCAACAGACAACUUGAGUUGCAUCAAACUAAAAAGCAUCUGCACUGCAAAGGGUACAGUUAACAGAAUGAAGACACGGGUUUUGAGAAACCAUUUUCAAAUCAUAUAUCUGAUAAGGGGCUAAUAUCCAAAAUGUAUUAAGAAACCCAAGCCCAAUAGCAAGAAAACAACUGUCUUUAAAAGGGGGAAAAGGACCUCAACUUAAAUUUUUCAGAGGAAGACAUGAGUGGCCAAUUGAUUGAUACAUGAAAAAAAUGCUCAACAUCUCUAAUCAUUAGUGAGUUGCAAAUCAAAACUGCAAGAUAUUACCUUACACCUUUUAGAAUGGCUAUUAUUAAAAGGAUGAAAGACAGGUGCUGGCAAGGAUGUGGAUAAAAGGAAGUCCCAACAUUCUGUUAGUGGGAAUAUAAAUUAGUAUAGCCAAUUUAGGAAACUAUAUGGUGGUUCCUUAAGAAACUAAAAGUACAAUUACUAUAUGAUCUAGCAAUCUCUACUUAGGUAUAUAUCCAAAGGAAUUGAAGCAGUAUGUUGAGAUCUUGCACUCCCUUAUUUUGAAAUUAUUUACAAAGCUAAUAAAUGGAAAAGACUUAAGUUUUCAUAACAGAUGAAUGGACAUAGAAGAUGUGUUGUAUAUACAUAUUGGAAUAUUUUUUAUCCUUGGAAAAGAAGGAAAAUUGUCAUUUGUGACAACAUGGAUGAAUCUGUAGUAUACUAUGCUAAGUGUUGUAAGACAGGCACAGAGAGGCAAAUACUACAUUAUAUUUGUAUGUGGAAUCUAAGAAAGGCUAACUCAUACAAGUAGAAAGUUGGAUGUUAUGGUUUCCAGGAUGUGGGUGUUGGAGAGAUGGGCAAAGGCAAGACGUUGGUCAAAGAGUACCAAUUUUCUGUUAGGAGGAAUAAGUUUUAGACAUAUUUCACAGCAUGGUGACCAUUGUCACUGACUGUAUAUUUUAAAAUUGUUAUAAGUAGAUAUUAAAGUUGUCACAACAAAAGUAGGUGAAGUUAUGGAUAUGUUAAUGUGCUUGAUUUAGUUAUUACACUAUGUAUACAUACAAAAACAUCAGAUAGUUCCCUGGAAUUAUAUACAAUUAUUACUUGUCAAUUAUAAAAAAAAGCCCUACUGCAACCACUAAAAAGGAUUUUCAUAUAAUAGAGGGAAAAAUCGUUAAAGAUAAUAAUACAUUAUUUUAGAAAAUAUUAACUUAUAAAAAGUAGUAUAGGAGGGAUUCUGUAAAAGAAGAUAGACAUAGAAUUUUAAAAUGUAUAAUGGAAAAUUUAAAUCCAGCUGUACUGAUGGAUCAAGCAAUCCAAACCAGUCUGAUUGACCAAGUGGAUAUUUAAAAAACAAUCAAACUAUAAGGUGUCUGUUGUAGGCAGUUUAUAAAAUACAAAAGUGUUGAAAGAAAUAGGAUGGAAAUAGAAAUAUCCAAGUAGCAACCACAAAAAAACUGGAAUGUCUGCACUAACAUCAUACAAAACAAACCAAAUGAAGGUUAAAAAUAUUGAAAUUAUACAAAAUAUGUUCUAUGACUAAAAUUUAAUGAAAUUAGAAAUAACACAGAGAUAGGAACUAUACAUAUUUGUGCAAAUUUAAAAAGUUAUGCUGAGUGUGGUGGCUCACACCUGUAAUCCCAGCACUUUGGGAGGCCGGGGAGGGUGGAUCACUUGAAGUCAGGAGUUGGAGACCAGCCUGGCCAACAUGGUGAAACCCUGUCUCUACUAAAAAUACAGAAAAUUAGCCAGAUGUGGUGGUGUGCGCCUGUAGUCCCAGCUACUCGGGUGGCUGAGGCACUAGAAUCACUUGAGCCUAGGAGGCAGAGGUGGCAGUGAGCCGAGAUCACACCACUGCACUGCAGCCUGGGCGACAAAGACUGUCAAAAAAAAAAAAAAAAAAAAAAAGUUACGUAACCAACAAGUCAAAGGAGAAUUUAUAAGGAAAUCAGAAAAUACUUUGAGGUGAAUGAAAAUACAGAAACAACAUAUCAAAUUCUGUGAGAUGUGUGAAAGCAACGCUUACAGUGAAAUUAAUAGCUAUGAACAUUGUAAUGAAAUGAGAAGUACUUCAAAUUACUAACCUAACUUUCCAACUUUAGAAAAUACAGUAAAAAAAGAACAAAUUAAAAUCAAAGCAGAAAGGAUAUAAAGUUUAGUGUGGAAAUAGAGAAUUAAAAAUAAUUGAGAAACACAGCACUUCGUUGACUUAUUCAUAAAAUAAAGCUUUAUUAAAAUGAGAAAUGUAAAACGUGAUGUUCCUAAUGACCUUAUUCCAUACAAGGGAUUAGUAUUUUGACAAAUAUCUUUGUGGAAGUAGACAAAUUCCUAGAAAGACACUGACUACCACAACUCAUUCAAGAACAAAGUGAAGACAAUAAAUUGGUAAUUUAAAAACUCUCACCCCUGCCCCUGACACACAUGUAAAUUCCCAGUUCAAAUGUAUUCUUUUGUAUAUUAUACCAAACACAUGAAAAUUACCAAUUCGAUAAAAAUGUCUUAAAAACUUGGAAGAGCAUGUAAUAUUUUUUACUGGUUCUAUGAUGCUAUUGUUAUCUAGAUACCAAAGUGAAACAUCAUACACAGGGAAAACUCUGAUAAUAUCGCUUAUGAGUGGAUCUGUGAAAUUUCCUAGUAAAUUUUGGCAAACCAAAUACAGUAACAUAUAAACAGGAAUGUACACCAGUACCCAGUACAGUGUAUCCCUGGAAUGCAACGUUAUUUCAUCAGCUGGAAAUGAUUAGUGCAACAGACUGAAGGAAGAAAACAACAUGGUCAUCUCAAUAGAUUGUGGACGGCUGGAAGUGGAGGCUCACGCCUGUAAUCCUAAUACUCCUACCAACAGUGUAUAAGCAUUCCUUUUUCUCUGUAACUUCACCAGAAUCUGUUUUUUUGUUUGUUUGUUUGUUUGUUUUUGACUUUGUAAUAGCCAUGGGCUGGGCUCAGUGACUCACGCCUGUAAUCCUAGCACUGGGGGAGGCUGAGGUGGGCGGAUCACUUGAGGUCAGGAGUUCGAGACCAGCCUGGCCAACAUGGUGAAACCCCAUCUCUACUAAAAAUACUAAAAUUACCUGUGCAUGGUGGCAAGUGCCUGUAAUCCCAGCUACUCGGGAGUCUGAGGCAGUAGAAUCACUUGAACCCAGGAGGUGGAGGUUGCAGUGAGCGGAGAUUGUGCCACUGCACUUGGACCUGGCUGACACAGCAAGACUAUGUUUAAAAAAAAAGAGAGAGAAAAAAAAAAUAGAAGGUGGAAAAAGUAUUUGGUAAACUAAGAAGUAAACCACAACCUAGUAAAGGGCAUAUUUUAAGAAUUCACAACUAGAACCUGGUGCCGUGGCUGUAAUCCCAGCACUUGGGGAAGCCAAAGCAGGAUUACUUGAGGCCAGAAGUCUGAGAUCAGCCUAGGCAAUAUAAGGAUACUCUGUAUCUUAAAAAAAAAAAAAAAAUCCAGAUGUGAUGACACAUGCCUGUACGCCUAGCUACUUGGGAAGCUGAGGUUCAUGUUUACAAUGAGCUAUGAUGAUGCCACUGUACUCCUGACUGAACAACAGAGUGAGACCCUGUCUCUAAAAAGCAAAACAAAACAGAAAACCCAAAACCCUCAAAACUAAUGUUACACUUAGUAUUUAAAGAAUGCUUUCUCUGUAAGAAGAGGAGCAAGGACAGGAUAAAACAUUCUUGCCAGUUCUGUUCAACAGUGUACUGGAAGUAUCUGUGACAUUAAUUGCAUUGCAUAUGGAAGGAAAUAAAAUUUUUUAAAUAGGAAGCAGCAAAACCUUUUGCAGAUGACAUGGUUUUGUACAUACACAACCCCAGUGGAUCCAAUAAAUUUGGAUUCCAAUAACAAGAUCAUCUCAGCAAGUUUUUGUGAUUUAAGAUUACAAUCCAAAAAUCAGUUGUAUUUCUAUAUAUUAUUAAAGAAGUCAAAAGUGACAUCAUUGAAACAUUUUUAUUUACAAUAUUAUUAAGGCAAAAUACUGUGGGAUAAAGUGAAAUUCAGCAUGAACUGUGAAUAACACAAAAUAUUUGUCAGAGGAGUUGAGGAAUAUCUACAUAUGUGGAAAGACAUCUCAUAUUUGUGGACUAGAAGAUUUAAGCAUCGCUAGGUGCGGUGGCUCACGCCUGUAAUCCCAGCACUUUGGUAGGCUGAGGUGGGCGGAUCACAAGGUCGGGAGUUCGAGACCAGCCUGGCCAAUAUGGUGAAACCCCGUCUCUACUAAAAAUACAAAAAAAUUAGGCGGGUGUGGUGGCGCAUGCCUGUAAUCCCAAUCCCUCUAGGCUGAGGCAGGAGAAUCUCUUGAUCCCGGGAGGCGGAGGUUGCAGUGAGCCAAGAUCGGGCCACUGCACUCCAGCCUGGGCAACAGAGCUAGGCUCCCUCUCAAAAAAAAAAAAAAAAAAGCAUCAAAAGGAUAGUUCAUUAAUGGAAAUAAUAAAUUGAAAAAGGGAAGGACAUCAAAGUUUAAUGCUUUUACUUUUUCAUAAUAACCAUAAAUAGUAUGAAAAUACAAACUAUAUUCAUGGAAAAUGUUUUGUUUUUAUUUUUUUUGAGACAGAAUUUUGCUCUUGUUUCCCAGGCUGGAGUGCAAUGGCACGAUCUCAGCUCACCACAACCUCUGCCUCCCGGGUUCAAGUGAUUCUCCUGCCUCAACCUCCCAAAUAGAUGGGAUUACAGGCAUGUGCCAGUACGCCCGCCUAAUUUUUUUGUUAUUUCUAGUAGAGAUGAGGUUUCUCCAUGUUGGUCAGGCUGGUCUCGAAUUCCCGACCUCAGGUAAUCUGCUCGCCUCUGCCUCCCAAAGUACUGGGAUUAUAGGUGUGAGCCACCAUGCCCGGCCCUUUGUUUUCAAAUCUCAUAUCCAACAUUGGACUUAUGGCUAGAAUAUUUACAUAAUUCUCAAAAGAUAGUAUUAAAAAUCCAAAGCUUUAAAUUAGAAAAUGGGCAAAAGUCAUGAAAGAACAUUCCCCUGAGGAUAGGGAAAUGUCAAUAAGGACAUGAUGGAAAUUAAUACUAUGAUGAGAUAUUACAGAAGAUUUAUUUUUCUUUGAGGCGGAGUCUGCCUCUGUCACCGAGGCUGGAGUGCAGUGGCAUGAUCUCAGCUCACUGCAACCUCCACCUCCCGGGUUCCAGCGAUUCUCCUGCCUCAGCCUCCCAAGUAGCUGGGAUUACAGGCGCCUGCCACCACGCCCAGCUAAUUUUUUUUUUUUUUUUUUUUUUUGUAUUUUUAGUAGAGACGGGGUUUCUCCAUGUUGGCCAAGCUGGUCUCAAACUCCUGACCUCAGGUGACCCACCUGCCUCAGCCUCCCAAAGUGCUGGAAUUAAGAGGUGUGAGCCACCACACCUGGCCUACAGCAGAUUUAUUUCAGUAGCUGAAAUAGUUAAAACAUAAUGAUUCCAAAGGCUGAGAAGCAUGCAGAAAAAAUUGAAUCUUUAUUGCUGAUGGGAAUAUAAAACUGUAUACCACAUUGGAAAAUAAUUUGGCAAUUUCUUUUAAAGCUAAACACACACAUACAGUUAGUUAGGCUUAGCAAUUGCUGUCAUGGCCUAUUUCAUAGAAAUGAAAAUUUAUGUGUAGACCAAACCUGCACUUGACUGUUCACAGAAAUUUUAUUUGUAAUAGUCAGAACCUGGAAACAACUCACAUGUUAUUCACCAGGUAAACAGUUAAAUAAGUCUGUUAUUUCCGUAUUGUGUAAUACAACUCAAAAAUUAAAAGGAAUAAACUACUACUAUACAAAUAAGCCUUAGAUGAUUCUCAAUUCUGAAGGAAAAACCCAUUUCAAGUUGUAACAUAAUGCUUAUUUUUAUGUAUCUUAAUGUGAUGAAGUUAAAUAGUUUAGAGAACAUUGUUCGUAUUCAUCUGUUAGGGAUGGUAGAAGUUAGGGUUGUAUGUGAUUAUAAGACUAGUGGAAGGGAUACGUUUUUAAUGAUGGAUGAGUUCUGCAUUCUGAUUCAUGCAGUGGUUACAAAAAUGUAUACAUGUGAUAAAAUGUCAUGUAAAUGUGCACAUUUCACCAAUGACAAUGUGCUGGUUGUGAUAUUGUACAAUGUUAAUGGAAAAUAUCACCACUGGGGAAAAUUGAGUGGUAUGUGUAAACGGUACUAUAUUUGCAGCAUUUUGUGAGUCUUUAUUUUAACAUAAUAUGUAAAUAUGUAAAGCAACUAGAAGAAUGGUUUUAAUACAGGAGAGUAACAGCUUAUAAGCAAGAGAAAGAAAAAUGAUAAAUAAUGUGAACACUUACCAAAGGAAGGGUGGAACAGAGAAAUAAAGGACAGGGAAAAUUAUCUGGGAUGAUUCCUAAAUUCCAAUAUUUGGAUGGAACUAUACAGAAUUUUAAUAUAUCUGGAAAAUAAACUGAAA
RNAcentral lists this long non-coding RNA (8170 nucleotides) under Homo sapiens (human). RNAcentral's name for it is "HSALNT0408073". The stretch from base 1 to 125 matches the Rfam family "JPX transcript, XIST activator conserved region 1". The record is from RNAcentral. Lineage: Eukaryota; Metazoa; Chordata; Mammalia; Primates; Hominidae.